Molecule: long non-coding RNA, 1460 nt
Filed under: Canis lupus familiaris (dog)
Lineage: Eukaryota; Metazoa; Chordata; Mammalia; Carnivora; Canidae
Description: lncRNA (ENSCAFG00040015201.1)
Source: RNAcentral
AAAAACAUUUGGAAUUAGAUCACGAGGUGGUGCCUACUAAUUCCAACUUCACCAGAGCACUAUGUUGGACAAACACUUUCAUCUUCCUUUGCUCCUAUUUCAACAUUUUAAGGACAAUAUAUAUAACAACAUAAACUCACUACUUCUUUCACUCAGGUAGAGUGAGUCCAAAUGACUUCCUGAUCCCAGAUGAAAGAGAAAAAAAAAAAAGUUUAUUUACAAAACAGAGGCCAGGCCAGAUAUGGUCCAUGAGCCAUCGUUUGUUUGCUGGUAUGCAUCAUCAGAUAGAGGAGGUGAGAUGUACACAGGUGGAACAGUUAAGUAACAGGAUGAGUGUCAUGGACCAAGGAGCACCCAUUAGAUGGUGAGCAUGCCAAGAAUCUGUGGCACUUGCAUGUUGGAGAAGAGCGCAAGGUGAGAGAGGACAGGUAGGCUGGGGUUCAGUUCUGGAGGGCUUCAAAUUUAGCCUUUACACUCAGGAGCAAUAGUUCACAAUAAUAUUCUCCCCACGUUGGGAUACCAUGACAGGUGGCAUUCAUGUGUGAGACUCACAUCCAUAAGUAUACACUAGAAUAGACUGCAACAGAGAUGAGCCAGGCAUCAUGAGUUCCAAAGAACUCCCUGUGAAUGAAUUUAUUUUUCCAGGUACCGCAGAUACAGAGCCCCACCCCAGCCCUCUAUUUGAAUGACAAUUGCUUAUUCUCACGUGGACAGAGAAAACGAUUUAUUGAUUUACUUGAUGUGGGAGAGGAGAGAGAGUCUUAAGCAGACUCCACGCUGAGCAUGAAGCUGGAUGAAGGGCUUGAUCUCACAAUCCUAAGACCAUGACCCCGAGAUCAAACCAAGAGUCAGCUGCUUAACCGACUGUGCCACUCAGGAGCCCCGAUGGCUCAAGCCUUUUGAAGUUGUACUCCUACAUGAUCCUCCAGAACAAGAUGACUGCCCUAUUCCCUCUUAUGUGUGAAGGGACUGGUCUGUGACUCUCACUCAGCCUGUCCCAAAUGAUUAAACUGUAACAGUGGCCAGAAUGUGUUAGGACUCUGUGGAUUCAGAGGAGGCAGCAUAGAGAAUGGAGGGGGUACACAAGCUUCAGAGUCAAGUCCAGGCCCAAGUCCUGGCUUUUUCUCUUCUUAGUUGGUCAUCUGGGCAGGUUGACCUACUUGAGCCUCGGUUUUUCUCAUCAACAGAAUGAAUAUAAUGAUUCUUGCCUGAUAGGCUUGCUGGAAUGCCUGCUACAGUGCCUGGCACACAUAGAAAAGCACUCAGUAAACAGUAGCUAUGAGCUCUAAUUGGUCUGAGUGUCUGGGUUUUCUUCACGCAAGGUAGGAGGUGCAAGGGCAUAGGGAAAGCGGGAUUCUGGAAUGAACUACCCUCCCUGGCAGGUGCACUUCCUUCUACUCUCCAACUUGAAAAUGCUGCUGACAAGUGCGGUGAGUUUGAAUGCACUGCACUUCUGGAAA